AUCAUGAUGGGAGUGGGGCGACAUCACGGUCAAGUUCCAAAUACUAAAUGGGAAACCUCCCUUCUGAUAAGAAAUUAUAAUAUGCACCGUGAUAUCACACCUUGGCUAUCAAAGCAUUCCGUCAUGUCAAAAGGUUCAUAUCAAAAGCCUUCAAAGCAUCGGCAAAAGGAGGGAGUGAAAGCUCUCGGCAAAUCUCGAAGGGUACCAUACCAUAUUCUUUGAGCCAA
Molecule: long non-coding RNA, 227 nt
Filed under: Elaeis guineensis (African oil palm)
Lineage: Eukaryota; Viridiplantae; Streptophyta; Magnoliopsida; Arecales; Arecaceae
Description: long non-coding RNA (EGUI_LNC035377)
Source: RNAcentral